This 456-nucleotide ribosomal RNA is filed under the name Triticum aestivum (bread wheat). RNAcentral describes it as "partial small subunit ribosomal RNA". The record is from RNAcentral. Lineage: Eukaryota; Viridiplantae; Streptophyta; Magnoliopsida; Poales; Poaceae.
AUGCGAGCUCCGCGCUCCCACCGUCACGCGUGCCCCGCGCCCUAUAUGCCCAGGCUAACUCCUAUAAUGGAUCCCGGGGGGGUCCUAUCCUCCGGCGCUGAAGGGGACGGCGGCCUGAAGAACGACGAGUCUCAGAGGAGGACGAGCGGCGGGUGUAGCUGGUGCUCAACCGGGAGAGCGCGCACCUGUCGCUGCAGAGGAAGAAGCAGCGCUCGCCGCCACCCUUCACCACGUCCGCCGCCUCCCCCUCGUGCCGCGAGGCGCCUCACCGGCCGGAUCCACUCGAUCUGGGCACGCCACUACCACAUCCCUCGAGUUGUGGACGCGCCAGCCUUAACGCCAUCUCCUUCCACAUGCUGGCGUACUACUCGCGUGGACGCUCGCCACGAUCUGGAUGUCGCGCAGCCUCAGCAGCCUGACGCCACCCAUGAAUCAGGCCUAAUUACUUGGCCGUGA